AGUCCCAUGACGUUACUUAUUUUCAGUAUUUUGCUUCUCUGUGUUUUUCUUGUUUUGGCGCGCGUUGUAAAAAUUCUUGUCAAGAAAACCGUGUUGCCAAAUUAGAUUUGUAAAUCGGACUUUUUUUUCUUGACUUUUCUUUUCAUGUCCAUAGCUCUGUCUUUUUUUUUCUCUUUUUUCUUUUUUUUAAAUGGGAUCAACUCAGAUUAGACUAAUAGCGGAGUAUGUUCCAAAAGUGAACAAGAUUAAUCCGUUAUCACUGUUUUCCCAGUCCGGCUUUCCCUUAUGACAGAAGUUCAUUGUGGAUUUUUUGCUAUCUUACAAAUAUCUUAUUAUGUGUAUCUUAUUGCAUGUCUUAUUUAUUAAGUUAUUAGCUCCUCCAUUAGCUCCACUACAUAUCUAUUUUUUUGCUAUUUGCGACUUUAUACUACUUUUGCAAAAUAGAAAUUUCAUUUGUUCGAUUCUGAUCAUAUUUUAGAAAAUGCUAAUUGAAGCUAAUUGCAGAGUAAUUUUUCCAGCAUGUACAAUCAAGGAGAAGGCAUGUUUUGUAUUUCAUGAAAAAUUGUUACACCAAAAAUUUGCAAAUGCUUUAUUUUUUGUUGGGAUGGUUAAAGUUAAACAGGUAAAUAAUGGAACCAACAGCUUAAACCUUUUCUCCUUUUAAUUUGCGUGUCAAACAAUGCGCAUGUUGAAAUUUCAGCAAAAAAUAUAUGCAUGCAUGACCUAGUUUAAUCAAACAUCAAAUUUGCAUGAAAGCUGAUUAAAUUGUUAUUCCUCACUAGAUACUAGAUACACACAAUUCAAUCCGACUAUGGAAACUGAGAACUUUUCGACUAUAUUCCUGAUUCAUCAAGUUGAAUGAAAUCGGAGUAAUAGUCGGAAAAUUUUCGCUUAAACAAGCGGAAAAUUAUCGCGUAUUGCCUGGAUCGCAAUUCGCAUUGUUGGGCAUUAUUAAGUCAUUACCAAUCAAAAUCAUGUUCGAUUAUUAUCAAGCAAAAAAUCGCAAUCAUUCAAUCAUCUAUAAAAAAAUUUUAAUCUGCAUGAACCAUCUGAUCUGAAAAAUUUCUGAUUCCAUGCACACGUAUAUAAAAUCUGCUUGCAAUUCUCAAUAUUUUCUACUUCUUUUCGAAUUCUUGAUCUCUCUCUAAAUGGGCUUUUUUUUGUUUUGCUUCUUCUCGAUUAUUCCUAUUAGCUCCAAAAACCUCCGAGUGAAAAUCUAGUGAUUAGUGUAAACUUUAAUGUGUCUGUGAGUGUGUGAUGAUGAUGGGGAAUCCCUGUGCUGGCCAAAAGUCGAACGUCAAAAACGACCUAAUGCGGAAUCCCUCAUGAUAUCGAAUUGAUGUAAACAAGAAACUGGCGGGAGAAUUCGAAAUUCCAGUUUUGCAUGAGUUACUCAAUCUCGCCGAGUUCUAAUUUUAAAGAGCAUCCGAGUGUUUAAGGAAAUAUCUUCCUCGUUCACUACCACCGUCUUUGAUAACAACUUGCCGCAGAAUCUUUUGGCGAGAAAACAUGGACGACAAAUUGUUGUUCGUCAAAGUAAACCACCAGCAAAUGACAGACUGUCAGCUGUCGGCCAUCGCGUCUUUUUUAUUUUUCUCAUCGUUUUGCUGUUGAAAUCAUCAACUCUUCUGAAAUGGCAAUCCCACUGGUGGCGAACGACGAACAUCGAGGUCGCCUGGCACAUGAUAGACGUCGAGCGCAACUUUACCUCGCCAAUGUCUACAGAGUUGCUAAAGCCCCGCUAACGUCAUUUUACGAAAACCUGGUCGCUUCUUUCGCAAGGAUGCGUGCCGAUCGUGAGGUCGUGAGGCUCAGCUGGAGCGAUCGCUUCUCAAUAAGAAACCGCGUAGGAUUUCGUUCAGUCCUGAUCAAAAUAAUACCGAUAACGACAAAUCAAUAGAAGUCCGUUUGAAUGACGGUGCAGUUCCGGCUAAGGUCAUCAACAGGACCAUCUUGAACAACCAAUUCAAUUCAAUCAAACUCUAUAGAUCUUUACCCAAUCGUGUGGUCGAACCUACUCGACAUCUUUUAAAACCUAUUUCAGACAAUAAAAUUGUUUGCAUU
RNAcentral lists this long non-coding RNA (2064 nucleotides) under Daphnia pulicaria. Its description in RNAcentral is "uncharacterized LOC124352135". The record is from RNAcentral. Lineage: Eukaryota; Metazoa; Arthropoda; Branchiopoda; Diplostraca; Daphniidae.